RNAcentral lists this ribosomal RNA (303 nucleotides) under uncultured bacterium. RNAcentral describes it as "partial 16S ribosomal RNA". It matches the Rfam family "Bacterial small subunit ribosomal RNA", at positions 507 to 807 of the family's 1533-position model. The record is from RNAcentral.
AGCAGUCGCCACGGUAAUACGAAGGGGGCUAGCGUUGCUCGGAAUGACUGGGCGUAAAGGGCGCGUAGGCGGUCACGAUAGUCAGAUGUGAAAUUCCUGGGCUUAACCUGGGGACUGCAUUUGAUACUGUGUGGCUUGAGUGUGGAAGAGGGUCGUGGAAUUCCCAGUGUAGAGGUGAAAUUCGUAGAUGUUGGGAAGAACACCGGUGGCGAAGGCGGCGACCUGGUCCAUAACUGACGCUGAGGCGCGAAAGCGUGGGGAGCAAACAGGAUUAGAUACCCCCGUAGUCCCUGUCUCUUAUAC